GACGAACGCGGCGGCGUGCCUAAUACAUGCAAGUAGGACGCCAGUUUAUACCGUAGCUGCUACACCAUAGACUGUGAGUUGCGAACGGGUGAGUAACGCGUAGGUAACCUGCCUAUUAGAGGGGGAUAACUAUUGGAAACGAUAGCUAAUACCGCAUAACAGUAUGUACACAUGUUAGAUGCUUGAAAGAUGCAAUUGCAUCGCUAGUAGAUGGACCUGCGUUGUAUUAGCUAGUAGGUAGGGUAAUGGCUACCUAGGCGACGAUACAUAGCCGACCUGAGAGGGUGAUCGGCCACACUGGGACUGAGACACGGCCCAGACUCCUACGGGAGGCAGCAGUAGGGAAUCUUCGGCAAUGGGGGAACCCUGACCGAGCAACGCCGCGUGAGUGAAGAAGGUUUUCGGAUCGUAAAGCUCUGUUGUUAAGGAAGAACGAGUGUGAGAAUGGAAAGUUCAACUGUGACG
This 465-nucleotide ribosomal RNA is filed under the name Streptococcus anginosus. RNAcentral describes it as "bacterial SSU rRNA". It matches the Rfam family "Bacterial small subunit ribosomal RNA", at positions 28 to 474 of the family's 1533-position model. Lineage: Bacteria; Bacillati; Bacillota; Bacilli; Lactobacillales; Streptococcaceae. The record is from RNAcentral.